GAUGAACGCUAGCUACAGGCUUAACACAUGCAAGUCGAGGGGAAACGAUAUUAGAAGCUUGCUUCUGAUAGGCGUCGACCGGCGCACGGGUGAGUAACGCGUAUCCAACCUGCCCAUCACUUGGGGAUAACCUUGCGAAAGUAAGACUAAUACCCAAUGACGUCUCUAGAAGACAUCUGAAAGAGAUUAAAGAUUUAUCGGUGAUGGAUGGGGAUGCGUCUGAUUAGCUUGUUGGCGGGGUAACGGCCCACCAAGGCGACGAUCAGUAGGGGUUCUGAGAGGAAGGUCCCCCCACAUUGGAACUGAGACACGGCCCAGACUCCUACGGGAGGCAGCAGUGGGGAAUAUUGCACAAUGGGGGGAAACCCUGAUGCAGCGACGCCGCGUGAGUGAUGAAGUAUUUCGGUAUGUAAAACUCUAUCAGCAGGGAAGAUAAUGACGGUACCUGACUAAGAAGCACCGGCUAAAUACGUGCCAGCAGCCGCGGU
Molecule: ribosomal RNA, 488 nt
Filed under: uncultured bacterium
Lineage: Bacteria
Description: bacterial SSU rRNA
Rfam family: Bacterial small subunit ribosomal RNA
Source: RNAcentral